AUGAAAAAGGAGGUACUGACUCUCAAACAAAAUGACUCGCCUGGUGAGAUUUACUGGAAAUUUGAUAACUCUGGUGUAUAUACAACCAAAUCGAUGUAUAGAUGGUUAGAAAAAGAUAUUGCUGGAUCUAGUUUCAAAUGGAUUUGGGAAGCUAAGCUCCCCUUGAAAAUACAAAUAUUCUUAUGGCAGGUGGGGCAAAAUGCCAUUUUGACUAGAGAUAAUAUGAAAAAAAGAUCUUGGCCUGGAAAUCCCUGUUGCUCCUUUUGCAAUCAAUUGUAA
Molecule: ribosomal RNA, 279 nt
Filed under: Triticum aestivum (bread wheat)
Lineage: Eukaryota; Viridiplantae; Streptophyta; Magnoliopsida; Poales; Poaceae
Description: partial small subunit ribosomal RNA
Source: RNAcentral